UCAAGUGACUAAGUGCAUGUGGCGGAUGCCUUGGCGAUCACAGGCGAAGAAAGACGCGGCAGCCUGCGAAAAGCUGCGGGGAGCUGGCAAACGAGCUUUGAUCCGCAGAUAUCUGAAUGGGGGAACCCACACCGCAAGGUGUAUCCGUAGCUCAAUACAUAGGUUACGGAGGCGAACGAGGAGAACUGAAACAUCUAAGUAUCCUCAGGAAAAGAAAUCAACCGAGAUUCCGGCAGUAGCGGCGAGCGAACCCGGAGGAGCCCAGCUUUUGAUAGUACGAACUUUAGCCGAAAGGUCCUGGAAAGGCCUGCUAUAGUGGGUGAUAGCCCCGUAGGCGAAAGAGUUGGUACGGUACUAAGGAAGCGAGAAGUAGAGCGGGACACGUGGAAUCCUGUUCGAAGACGGGGGGACCAUCCUCCAAGGCUAAAUACUCGUGAUCGACCGAUAGUGAACCAGUACCGUGAGGGAAAGGCGAAAAGAACCCCGGGAGGGGAGUGAAAUAGAACCUGAAACCGCAUGCAUACAAACAGUAGGAGCCUCGUCAGAGGUGACUGCGUACCUUUUGCAUAAUGGGUCAGCGACUUACAUUCUGUGGCGAGCUUAACCGAAUAGGGGAGGCGCAGCGAAAGCGAGUUCGAAAUGAGCGUUCAGUCGCAGGGUGUAGACCCGAAACCAGAUGAGCUAUCCAUGGCCAGGUUGAAGGUGUGGUAACACACACUGGAGGACCGAACCGACUAGUGUUGCAAAAUUAGCGGAUGAGCUGUGGAUAGGGGUGAAAGGCCAAACAAAUCUGGAGAUAGCUGGUUCUCCCCGAAAACUAUUGAGGUAGUGCCUCGUGUGUCGCUCCAGGGGGUAGAGCACUGUUUUGGCUAGGGGGACAUGGAGUCUUACCAAACCAAGGCAAACUCCGAAUACCUGGAAGCGUAAGCACGGGAGACAGAGCACCGGGUGCUAACGUCCGGACUCAAAAGGGAAACAACCCAGACCGCCGGCUAAGGUCCCAAAUAACAGCUAAGUGGAAAACGAAGUGGAAAGGCCGUGACAACCAGGAAGUUGGCUUAGAAGCAGCCAUCCUUCAAAGAAAGCGUAAUAGCUCACUGGUCGAGUCCUUCUGCGCGGAAGAUGUAACGGGGCUAAGCUGUUAACCGAAGCCGCGGAUGCGCUGGUUAUCCAGUGCGUGGUAGGGGAGCGUUCUGUAAGUCUGCGAAGGCGGUUCGAGAGGACUGCUGGAGAUAUCAGAAGUGCGAAUGCUGACAUGAGUAACGUUAAAGCAGGUGAAAAGCCUGCUCGCCGUAAGCCCAAGGAUUCCUGCUCUACGUUCAUCGGAGCAGGGUGAGUCGGCUCCUAAGGUCAGGCCGAAAGGCGUAGCCGAUGGGAAUCAGGUUAAUAUUCCUGAACCUGCGUCAGAUGCGAUGGGGGGACGGAGCAUGGAAGAUCAUCCGGGUGUUGGAAGUCCCGGUUGUUUAGCGUAGGAGGUCUGCAGGCAAAUCCGCAGACGCAUCUCCAAGGCAAAGACACGUGCCGCCACGGCGGCGAAGUGAUCGGAAGUGCUUCCAAGAAAAGCCUCUAAGCCCCAGUCUGAUGCGGACCGUACCGCAAACCGACACUGGUGGGCGAGCUGAAUAUGCUCAGGCGCUUGAGAGAACUCGGGAGAAGGAACUCGGCAAAUUGACACCGUAACUUCGGAAGAAGGUGUGCCGUAGUACCGUGAGAGGAGAGACACCUUGAGCGGGAAACGGUCUCAGAGAAUAGGUGGCUGCGACUGUUUAUUAAAAACACAGCACUCUGCAAAGUCGAAAGACGACGUAUAGGGUGUGAUGCCUGCCCGGUGCUGGAAGAUUAAUUGAUGGGGUGAGAGCCCUUGAUCGAAGUCCCAGUAAACGGCGGCCGUAACAAUAACGGUCCUAAGGUAGCGAAAUUCCUUGUCGGGUAAGUUCCGACCUGCACGAAUGGCAUAACGAUGGCCACACUGUCUCCUCCCGAGACUCAGUGAAGUUGAAAUGUUUGUGAUGAUGCAAUCUACCCGCGGCUAGACGGGAAGACCCCAUGAACCUUUACUGCAGCUUUGCAUUGAACUGUGAACCGAUUUGUGUAGGAUAGGUGGGAGGCAGAGAAGAGGCCACGCCAGUGGUCUUGGAGCCGACCUUGAAAUACCACCCUGAUUUGUUUGCGGUUCUAACCACGGACAGUGAUCCUGUCUUGGGACCGUGCAUGGUAGGCAGUUUGACUGGGGCGGUCUCCUCCUAAAGGGUAACGGAGGAGUACGAAGGUACGCUAGGUACGGUCGGAAAUCGUGCUGAUAGUGCAAUGGCAAAAGCGUGCUUGACUGCGAGAGCAACAACUCGAGCAGAUGCGAAAGCAGGUCAUAGUGAUCCGGUGGCUCUGAAUGGAAGGGCCAUCGCUCAACGGAUAAAAGGUACUCCGGGGAUAACAGG
This 2435-nucleotide ribosomal RNA is filed under the name human gut metagenome. Its description in RNAcentral is "bacterial LSU rRNA". It matches the Rfam family "Bacterial large subunit ribosomal RNA", at positions 3 to 2481 of the family's 2925-position model. The record is from RNAcentral.